AUGGUGGUGGACGCCCUUGCGGCCAUCCUGGACAAGGCCAAAUCGGCAGGCCAUAUCCACGGCGUGGUCCCACACCUAGUAGGAGGGGGAGGGGUCUCCGUCCUCCAAUAUGCCGACGACACCAUAAUAAUGGUCGAGGGCUCCACGACCGAUAUUGCCAACCUGAAGUUUCUCCUCCUAUGCUUCCAAAAGAUGUCCGGGCUCACUAUCAACUUCGAUAAAAGUGAAGUGAUGGUUCUGGGAUACCCGGACAAGGCCCAGGGCAUUGCUAACUGGCUUAAUUGCUGCCUGGGCACUUUCCCCACGACAUAUUUGGGGAUACCCAUUAGUGACUCGCGACUCACCGUGGCGGACCUCUGCCCAUCCGUGACCCGGAUGCAACACUGGGUCGAGCCCUGGAAGGGUCGGUGGCUCUCAAAGGCGGCGAGGGUAAUCCUCAUAAACUCCUCGCUUGCCAGCCUCCUCUGGUUCCUCAUGAGCUUCUAUAGCCUGCAUGAGACGCUCCAUCAGGAGGUUGCCAAGUACCAGUCCAGGUUUUUCUGCGCAGGCGAGGAGGACAAGCAGAAGUACCGUAUGGUGAGCUGUCCUUACAUUUGCAAACCCAAGGACCAAGGGGUCUGGGAUCCUGUCUUCCCGGUGCAUGAACAUUUCUCUCCUGACCCGUUGGCUCUGGCGUAUCGCCAACGGGGAGGGCAGCCUCUGGCUCACCAUCAUCCGAAAUAA
Molecule: ribosomal RNA, 723 nt
Filed under: Triticum aestivum (bread wheat)
Lineage: Eukaryota; Viridiplantae; Streptophyta; Magnoliopsida; Poales; Poaceae
Description: partial small subunit ribosomal RNA
Source: RNAcentral